GAUGAAGAACGCAGCGAAAUGCGAUAAGUAAUGCGAAUUGCAGAAUUCAGUGAGUCAUCGAAUCUUUGAACGCACAUUGCGCCCUGUGGUAUUCCGCAGGGCAUGCCUGUUCGAGCGUCAUUUCAACCCUCAAGCCCCGCUUGGUGUUGGGUCCCGCCCGCUGUGGCCGGCCCUAAAGACAGUGGCGGCGCCGCCUGGCCCUCAGCGUAGUACAUCUCUCGCUCCAGGGUCCGGUGGCCGCCUGCCAGAACCCCCCAACUCUGUGGUUGACCUCGGAUCAGGUAGGGAUACCCGCUGAACUUAAGCAUAUCAAUAAGCGGAGGA
Molecule: unclassified non-coding RNA, 324 nt
Filed under: soil metagenome
Description: partial contains 5.8S ribosomal RNA, internal transcribed spacer 2, and large subunit ribosomal RNA
Rfam family: 5.8S ribosomal RNA (bases 1-120)
Source: RNAcentral